CAAACGGCCCUUUUCAGGGCCAUUACUCCAAUUCAUGUAGAGUUAUU
Aedes albopictus (Asian tiger mosquito) is the source of this 47-nucleotide non-coding RNA. NCBI's taxonomy places the organism in Eukaryota, Metazoa, Arthropoda, Insecta, Diptera, Culicidae. The record is from Rfam.